CCCAGCUGUAGGUGAUGGCCUAGGUUGCACUGUGCCUAGGCAAGUUUUCACUGUUGGGAAAAAAGCAACUAAUAACUGGAGGGCAUUCUGGGCCUGGUUAAUAACAAA
This 108-nucleotide small nucleolar RNA is filed under the name Ochotona princeps (American pika). RNAcentral describes it as "Small nucleolar RNA SNORA74 (ENSOPRG00000022502.1)". Lineage: Eukaryota; Metazoa; Chordata; Mammalia; Lagomorpha; Ochotonidae. The record is from RNAcentral.